UCCCAUCACCCUUGCCCUCGGGACGCCGG
This 29-nucleotide small RNA is filed under the name Bombyx mori (domestic silkworm). RNAcentral's name for it is "ovarian small RNA-7272". Lineage: Eukaryota; Metazoa; Arthropoda; Insecta; Lepidoptera; Bombycidae. The record is from RNAcentral.